GAUGAACGCUGGCGGCGUGCCUAAUACAUGCAAGUCGAGCGAACAGACGAGGAGCUUGCUCCUCUGACGUUAGCGGCGGACGGGUGAGUAACACGUGGAUAACCCACCUAUAAGACUGGGAUAACUUCGGGAAGCCGGAGCUAAUACCGGAUAAUAUAUUGAACCGCAUGGUUCAAUAGUGAAAGACGGUUUUGCUGUCACUUAUAGAUGGAUCCGCGCCGCAUUAGCUAGUUGGUAAGGUAACGGCUUACCAAGGCGACGAUGCGUAGCCGACCUGAGAGGGUGAUCGGCCACACUGGAACUGAGACACGGUCCAGACUCCUACGGGAGGCAGCAGUGGGGAAUCUUCCGCAAUGGGCGAAAGCCUGACGGAGCAACGCCGCGUGAGUGAUGAAGGUCUUCGGAUCGUAAAACUCUGUUAUUAGGGAAGAACAAAUGUGUAAGUAACUAUGCACGUCUUGACGGUACCUAAUCAGAAAGCCACGGCUAACUACGUG
Molecule: ribosomal RNA, 497 nt
Filed under: uncultured bacterium
Lineage: Bacteria
Description: partial 16S ribosomal RNA
Rfam family: Bacterial small subunit ribosomal RNA
Source: RNAcentral